CCCAACAAAUGAAAAGGAAUUGCAGUUAACUUUGAUGCUACUGAAACAAGCGUUGCAUCUCUGCUAUGGUUUUUUAUCUGUUAGCUUUACAUCUUGGAAACUGUUAUAGUUAAUUAAUUAAGGUCUCAUUUUGGAGGAACAUUAGAAGCACUCCAGUUGUCAUUAAAUUAUGGAGCUUAGGUUGUGUCAGUCCUCCAUUGCUUUAGAAGGUAGUUGUACCUAUGGCCCUGAAGAGAGUAUGAAAAUGUAUUUUUUUCAUUGGGAAUGGGGGCAGUGUGCUGUUGUUGCAGAAAGGAUUUAUGACAAUGAACUGGUAUGUAAUAGUAUCAAGUAG
This is a long non-coding RNA of Agrilus planipennis (emerald ash borer), 334 nucleotides long. RefSeq lists it as uncharacterized. The transcript is spliced from 2 exons. NCBI's taxonomy places the organism in Eukaryota, Metazoa, Arthropoda, Insecta, Coleoptera, Buprestidae. The record is from RefSeq and is a predicted model, not a curated record.